This 273-nucleotide ribosomal RNA is filed under the name uncultured bacterium. Its description in RNAcentral is "partial 16S ribosomal RNA". It matches the Rfam family "Bacterial small subunit ribosomal RNA", at positions 523 to 796 of the family's 1533-position model. The record is from RNAcentral.
AUACGGAGGGGGUUAGCGUUGUUCGGAAUUACUGGGCGUAAAGCGCACGUAGGCGGAUUGGAAAGUUGGGGUGAAAUCCCAGGGCUCAACCCUGGAACUGCCUCCAAAACUAACAGUCUAGAGUUCGAGAGAGGUGAGUGGAAUUCCAAGUGUAGAGGUGAAAUUCGUAGAUAUUUGGAGGAACACCAGUGGCGAAGGCGGCUCACUGGCUCGAUACUGACGCUGAGGUGCGAAAGCGUGGGGAGCAAACAGGAGUAGAAACCCUAGUAGUCC